CUACGGGCUGCUGCAGUGGGGAAUUUUGCGCAAUGGGGGAAACCCUGACGCAGCAAUACCGCGUGAGUGAAGAAGGCCUUUGGGUCGUAAAGCUCUUUUCUUGGGGAAGAUAGUGACGGUACCCAAGGAAUAAGCACCGGCUAACUCCGUGCCAGCAGCCGCGGUAAUACGGAGGGUGCAAGCGUUGUUCGGAUUUACUGGGCGUAAAGGGCACGUAGGCGGCACAGCAAGUUAAGGGUGAAAUCCCGGGGCUCAACUCCGGAACUGCUCUUUAAACUGCUGAGCUAGAGAUAGUCAGAGGCGGGUGGAAUUCCAGGUGUAGAGGUGAAAUUCGUAGAUAUCUGGAGGAACACCGGUGGCGAAGGCGGCCCGCUGGGGCUAUUCUGACGCUAAGGUGCGAAAGCGUGGGGAGCAAACGGGAUUAGAUACCCUGGUAGUC
Molecule: ribosomal RNA, 439 nt
Filed under: uncultured bacterium
Lineage: Bacteria
Description: partial 16S ribosomal RNA
Rfam family: Bacterial small subunit ribosomal RNA
Source: RNAcentral